This 502-nucleotide ribosomal RNA is filed under the name uncultured bacterium. RNAcentral describes it as "bacterial SSU rRNA". It matches the Rfam family "Bacterial small subunit ribosomal RNA", at positions 355 to 874 of the family's 1533-position model. The record is from RNAcentral.
UGGGGAAUAUUGGACAAUGGGCGCAAGCCUGAUCCAGCCAUGCCGCGUGAGUGAUGAAGGCCUUAGGGUUGUAAAGCUCUUUUGUCCGGGACGAUAAUGACGGUACCGGAAGAAUAAGCCCCGGCUAACUUCGUGCCAGCAGCCGCGGUAAUACGAAGGGGGCUAGCGUUGCUCGGAAUCACUGGGCGUAAAGGGCGCGUAGGCGGCCAUGUAAGUUGGGGGUGAAAGCCCGUGGGCUCAACCACGGAAUUGCCUUCGAUACUGCUUGGCUUGAGACCGGAAGAGGUGAGUGGAACUGCGAGUGUAGAGGUGAAAUUCGUAGAUAUUCGCAAGAACACCAGUGGCGAAGGCGGCUCACUGGUCCGGAUCUGACGCUGAGGCGCGAAAGCGUGGGGAGCAAACAGGAUUAGAUACCCUGGUAGUCCACGCUGUAAACGAUGAAUGCUAGCUGUUGGGGUGCUUGCACUUCAGUAGCGCAGCUAACGCUUUAAGCAUUCCGCCU